RNAcentral lists this ribosomal RNA (603 nucleotides) under uncultured bacterium. Its description in RNAcentral is "bacterial SSU rRNA". The stretch from base 1 to 518 matches the Rfam family "Bacterial small subunit ribosomal RNA", at positions 338 to 873 of the family's 1533-position model. The record is from RNAcentral.
CCUACGGGAGGCAGCAGUGGGGAAUAUUGGACAAUGGGCGAAAGCCUGAUCCAGCAAUGCCGCGUGAGUGAUGAAGGCCUUAGGGUCGUAAAGCUCUUUUACCAGGGAUGAUAAUGACAGUACCUGGAGAAUAAGCUCCGGCUAACUCCGUGCCAGCAGCCGCGGUAAUACGGAGGGAGCUAGCGUUGUUCGGAAUUACUGGGCGUAAAGCGUGCGUAGGCGGUUAUUCAAGUCAGAGGUGAAAGCCCGGGGCUCAACCCCGGAACGGCCUUUGAAACUGGAUAACUAGAAUCUUGGAGAGGUCAGUGGAAUUCCGAGUGUAGAGGUGAAAUUCGUAGAUAUUCGGAAGAACACCAGUGGCGAAGGCGACUGACUGGACAAGUAUUGACGCUGAGGUACGAAAGCGUGGGGAGCAAACAGGAUUAGAUACCCUGGUAGUCCACGCCGUAAACGAUGAUAACUAGCUGUCCGGACACUUGGUGUUUGGGUGGCGCAGCUACGCAUUAAGUUAUACCGUCCGUCGGGAGGUACGGUCGCGAGAAGUAAACGUUAAAGUAAGUAGUAGGACGUGUAGAGUUAGCGACGACGACGACGAGGAGGAGG